This 271-nucleotide ribosomal RNA is filed under the name uncultured archaeon. RNAcentral's name for it is "partial 16S ribosomal RNA". It matches the Rfam family "Archaeal small subunit ribosomal RNA", at positions 477 to 747 of the family's 1478-position model. The record is from RNAcentral.
CAGCGCCACGAGUGGCAACCGCGGUUAUUGGGCCUAAAGCGUCCGUAGCCGGUUCAGCAAAUCUUUUGUGAAAUUGUCAGGCUUAACUUGACGAAUUGCAGAAGACACUACUGAACUCGAGACCGGGAGGAGUCAGAAGUAUUCUAGGGGGACCGGUAAAAUGGUAUAAUCCCUAGAGGACUACCGAUGGCGAAGGCAUCUGACCAGAACGGAUCUGACGGUGAGGGACGAAAGCCAGGGGAGCGAACCGGAUUAGAUACCCGAGUAGUCC